Molecule: long non-coding RNA, 26449 nt
Filed under: Capsicum annuum
Lineage: Eukaryota; Viridiplantae; Streptophyta; Magnoliopsida; Solanales; Solanaceae
Description: long non-coding RNA (CANN_LNC011678)
Source: RNAcentral
GAUUAUCUAGGUGAUAAAGCUAAAUAAAACAUGUAAAUAAGACAAGCGAGGAGAAAGAAGGCAAGACAAUUCAUGAUAAAGGGGACUGCUCAUGUAAUAAACCAAUUACCCCAAAUAAACAUGUAAAGUGAAUAAAAAGACUAAAAAAAAACGAAAUCGUCUAAGCCAAACAAAGAGAUGUUUUGGUUUUGUUCGGAUCAAAAACCCAACUUGUCAAUCAUCAUUCGACCCAAGGGCCAAACUCUUAAACAAGUAAUAAUGUCAUUAGCCUCGCCUUUAAUAUUUGUUGGGAUAAACAUUUCCGAAUGACUACCUGUCCCACCCCACCUAGGCUGAAUGUCAAGUCUAAAGGUGUUCUAUGACAAGGACAAAACUAACGUUUUUAGUAAUAAUUAUCAUCCCAACUAUCGUCUAAGAGGCAUUGGACUUUGUUAUUUUGGAUUUGUGUUCUAGACUAAAAGAAAUCUAUGUUGCCUAGGACUUGAAGCGCGAACAUAUUGGACAACAAGUAGCACGUAAUAAUCUCAAGUUAGCCUCUUGAUUAAUUAACGUUUAUUAAUGUGAUAGCAUGCGAAGAUAAGUAAUUAUAUAUUAUGUCAUUAACCUAUAGGCAUGAUGUCUAAUGUUCAAUCAAGUGGUGCCAAAGGACAACUGUGAUUCGUGUAUGCAACAAUAUAAUGUGCUCAUGAGGGGUGUCAAAAGUGUGGUAAAUGUGUCAAGAAAAUGUGCUUGUGAAUUAAGUGUCAUAAGCUAUAAUGAGAAUACAAGAAACUAGUAAAAUAUUAAAGGAUGCGUUAAAAUGUUAGGAAUGCACUUAAAUGCAGAGAACAAAUUAACAUAUAGAAAAUGUAGAGUAUUACUAGUAUUUUAGCAUGCUGGAAGUCAACUAAACAUGCUGAAAAAGUUAAACAUGCUGAAAAAUUAAUUAAUCAUGCUGAAAGUUACUUAAACAUGCUGGAAAGUUACUUAAACAUGCUGAAAAUAACGUUAAGACGCAGUAUUUUCAUGUUGAUAUGCUGAAAACAUGCCAAGAAUGUCUAAAAUCUAAUAUUUUAAUAUGGUAUAAAUGUAGGGAACUAGCAUUUUAAACAUGCUGAAAUCAGUAUAAGUGCUGAAAUUUAUUUAGAUGCGCAGAAAAAUCAUUUAAACAUGCUGAAAUUUAAUCUAAAAUUGCUGAACUAGAUGUUAGACAUGCUGAAACUUUGAUGUUAACAUGCUCAAAUUGUUUUAAUAUGCCUAAAACGGUGUCGACACGCCUAAAAAUGUAAAGACGUACUAAAUAAAUCGUGCUUAACAUGCAAAAAUUAAUGUAAUAAGCUAACGUAUCGAAAAUAUUAUCAUGCCUUAAUUUAAUGUGGAUAUGUUAAAAAGGUAUUAGCAUGCUUAGUUUCAAAUCAAUAUGCUUAACAUGCAGAGAUACGUCAACAUGCCUAAUGUCAAAUUAAUAAGCUUAAUAUCAAUUAAUAUGAUACGUCAAUUUUAGAUGGAUAAGAGUAAUUAAUAAAUCGUAGCAAGAUUCAUAUUAAUAGACCCAAAUUUUGUGCCUAGAUGAUUCAAAUAACACGUCUUGCAUGUAAUCCUAGGUUGUGCCUACCUAUACCGUUCAUAGAGCACAUAAUCCUUGCCCCCCAAAGCAGUCCCCAAAUAAUAUUAUUACAUCAAUAGGAAAAAUAUUUUAGAAUAAUAUUACAGACCAAAUAAAAAAAAAAAAAAAAACUAGUUAAAAAGAAUACAUAGUUUAACUAUUCCGGGGACUCUUUGGAACUUGUAAGUGUCUAUUUAACCUGCGAAACAAAUUAUAAUGGCAAGCAGACAGGAACACAUAAUAGCAAACAUCAAAAUAUUCCUAAAGACAUGCUUUCUAAAGAUUUUACAACACGAUGCAAUCAAGAUAAAUAGAGGAUGAAAAAUUACAUCGUUCAAGAACUCACCAGUGAACAGCAUUAAAGAGAGAAUAAGAAUAAUAGAAGCCAAAAGCCAAGUAUACGUAAUAGCGAGAUAUGCAAGAUGUUAACAGCAGCCUCUAAAGAGAAACAAAAAGCACUUAAAAAUAUUUAAUUGCCUUUGUAAAAAGUAGCCAAUGAUUUUUGUUAAGAGUAGUAGUAGUAAUUGUAAUUGUGAGACUUGAGAACUUUUCGCUGUCCCCUUUUGUGAAUGAAGGGAUGGGUUUAUAUAGUAUCAAAGAAAUCAGUCAGCUGAGACAAAACAGGAAAAUAAAUAUUCCACCCCUUUAAUUACUGAAGUGAUAUUAUGUAAAAUUAGUCGGGGGUAAAAAUAAGAAAGAGGAGAAAUCAAUCACCCAUAAUUUCCUUAAAAGAAGGCUUGCUCAAUCAAUUGUUUCAUGUUUCCAUAUAUAGGUGGGUAAGAAAAGAUACUAAUUUGAAAGAGGAAAAAUAAUAACAGAAACACGUAUCAUUUACCAUAGAUACUCAAAUUAAUUAAAAGCCAUCCGUUAAUUCUGCUAAAAGCCCAGAAUCUAUUGUCAAUUAGGAACAAACACAAUUAAUAUUUUAUCAUAAACACUGAUUCAAAUAUAAUCCAUGUAUAGCACCUUUCAAUAACAAUCAACAGUCAGCAAUCACAUUGAUUAUCAAAAUUGAGGGUUUUCGCACAUAAUAGUCCAAUGAUAAACAAGUAACUAGACGAAUUAACUCACACUGACAGUCAGAUAUCAUAAACCUUAGGCAAUUUGGGUGAUGAAAAGAACAUGCAAAUCAAAUCGAUAACAAACAUGCCAUUACUAAAACAAACCGUAUAAUAGUCAGAUCUCGGGGGGUGUUAUUUUUGUUGGUGGUGACACCGAAAAUGAAGGAGGUUGCGGAUUUGGAGCGGCGCGAGAAAGAGGCAGAGAAAGGAGGUUGAAUCACAACUGGUGGAGGUGGCAGAUCUGGGGGCGGUGCUGGAGUGGUGGCUCCGAUCGGCGAUGGGAGGCUGGUCGUUCUUGUUUUCGCCAGAGAGGACGGUGCCGGGGCUGGUUUCAUGGCGGCAGUAUGGAGGUUUUUGUGGUCGAUUGGCGACGGAGAGAUCGAAGGAGAGGGGGAGAUCGAGAUUUGGAAGGAUUUUGUAGAGAGAGAGGGGGCAAGGAGAAGGGCUCACUGGCGAUGAGACAGUGGCGGCACCAUCACCAGCAGCAAUGGAUGUCGAUGAUGAUGAGAAGAAAGAAGGGGAGAUAGAGAGAGAGGAGUUAGAGAGAUGAGAGGGGCGGAUGGUUUUUUUGGGGGGAAUUAUGGUUAGGUUUAGGUUUUGUUGUUGUUUUAAAAAGGAAGGUAAAGGAGGUUUGAUCUCAUCCAUCAGAUCAGUUUUUGAUCAACGGCUGGGAUUUAAAGAUUGAAAAUUUGACCAACAUUGAGUACCAUUUAAAAUUGAGUGAUUAAAUUGGCCAUAAUUGUAAUAAAGGGUUGACAUUGUAAUAAAAUUGAGGCUAAGAGAUGAAUGAAUUAGACAAAUGACUUCAAUUUUAGACUGUUAUUUAAAUUUUAGUAGAGAUAACAAUAGAUGAUAAUAAUAAUUAAACAAUAAUAAUAAAUAAUAAUAAUAAAUAAUAAAUAAUAAUAAUAUAUAUAUAUAAUAACAAUGUCAGUGAAAAAUAAUAAUAUCAAUAAAUAGAAUUAAAUAAUGAAAAACUAGACAAUGCAUUUGUAAAAAUGUGAGUGUGCGCAGUUACGUGAAAAAUAAUUUAAUUAAUAGAAUUACAUAAAAUAUCAUAUUUGAUUUUGAAAUUAUAAACAUGAUAAAAUAAUAAAAUAAUUUAUGCAUUUUUUCUAAAUUGUGAAUGCAAUACGUCACUAUAUACUUAAAUUCAAGAAUAAUGAAAAAAUUAUUAAUAAUUGAAAUUAAAUAAUUUUGAUAAAAUAAUAGCCUAAAUAUAAUAUCGGGAGGUCAAAAUUGGGUGUCAACAGGGGAAAGGGUAGAUAUUUUUUUACUUUUGAUUUUUAAACUUGAAAGGGCGGGUAGGAGUGGAGGUAGGAGGUAGGUGGGUGCGGGGAUAGAAACAUUCUUUUUCUUUUUGCAUUUCAUUGAGAAAUAAUAUAAUAGUUGAACAUGAUGCACAAAUAGAUAGAAUAGUCUCUGCAAAUAGCAUCUUUCGAUCCUUUAAAGUAAUAUAAUUUAACAUGCAACAUUCACAUAGUUUCAAGUAUCUUGGAUCCAUGAUUCAGGCGAAUGGUGAGGAUGUCUCCCACCGUAUUGGGGCGGAAUGGAUGAAGUGGAAGCUCGCCUCGGGGGUAUUGUGUGAUAGGAAGGUGCCUCCCAAGCUUAAAGGCAAAUUCUACAGGGUGGCAGUUCAUUCGACCAUGUUGUAUGGAGCGGAGUUUUGGCUAGUCAAGAAAUCUCACAUUCAAAAAUUGAAGGUGACGGAAAUACGAAUGUAGCAUUAGAUUUGUGGGCUUACUAGGGGUGAUAGAGUUCGAAAUGAGACUAUUAGGAAAAAGGUUGGAGUGACUUUGGUGGAGGACAAGAUGCGGGAAGUCCGAUUGAGAGUGUUCUGACGUGAUGAGGGGGGCACGGAUGCCCCGAUUUGUAGGUGUGAGAAGCUAUCUUUGGAUGGUUUCAGGUGGGGUAGGGGUACACCGAAGACACAUGAAAAAGAGGUGAUCAGGCAGGACAUGGAGCAGUUACAGCUCACUAAGUACAUGACCCUAUAUAGGAAGAUAUGGAGGACGCAAAUUAGGAUAGAAGGCUAGUGCCAGUUUGGGUCGUUGGGGCAGGGCAUUACUUGGUAGGUGUAUUAUUCUUUUUAUGACACUUUGUUUCAUGUUUUAUUACGAAUUUGUUUACUAUUCUUUAUUUAUUAUUCCUUGUGGGUGGCAUAUUUAUGUCAGGUCAUCUUGUUCCAUGCUUUAUCACGGAUAUGUUUAUUAUUCCUUAUCUUGAGCCGGGGGUCUAUCGGAAACAGCCUUUCCACUUCUCCGAAGGUAGUGGUAUGGAUUACGUACAUCUUACCCUCCCCAGACCCCACUAUGUUGGAAUACACUGAAUUUGUUGUUGUUGUAUGCAACAUUCACAUAUAAGAUUAUUAAAAUAAUAUCUUUAAAUUAUGAAUAAUAUAAUAAAGAAAAAUCUUAAAUGAAAAAUUCUUUUUACAAUUACAUGAUUGUUUUUUAGUAUAGAUUUGGUUAGAGGUUAGGUGAUUGGCGUAAGGAAGGAUGGGUGAGGAUAGAGGCUUAUGGUGUGUGGGGGAGGUAGUUAUUUUUUUUUUUUUUGAUAAAAUUGAAAGGGUACCAGAACAAUUUCAACCAAUUCAAGAAGAGGAGGAGUUUGAGGAAGAAAUUAAGGAUGAAUGUAAUAGUUUUCGACCCGACGAUCCAUAUGGGAAGAAGCCCAUGGAAGCAACGGUAACCCUCCCUCGAAAGCCACAAAUCUCUGAUGUGAGGGCAUCCACGAGCUCCAAAAUUGAUGAACCAGUACAAAUUGAGCAGAAUCUAGGGGAUUCUCCACGAGAAUGAGCCACUAACAAAGGACACGCACUGGUAUACAAGAUCCCAAAUCAGCGUGAUAGGAAGAUGGUGGUCAAGCUCACACAGGAGGACAUUAAGACUAGUGACGAAUAUUUAUCCACAAUGCUUAUAGGGUAUGUGUUGGGUGAUGCUCCAUAUGAGAAUUCGAUGGAUAAUUUUGUUGUAACCGUCUGGAAUUUUGUGAGGAAACCCCAGAUAUUCUAUCAUGCUGAAGGGUAUUAUGGAUACCGAUUUGUAUCAAUAGAGGUGCUACAAACAGGACCUUAUUCCUAUCAUAACAAGCCCUUCCUUCUGACACCAUGGGUAGAGGAGUUUGUGUUUGAUAAGAAAGCAAUUACAAAAGUUCCAUUAUGGGCUAAUCUCCUAGGAUUACCAGUGGGAUAUUGGUCAAUUGAGGCAUUGGGCAAAGUAGCAAGUGCAAUAGGUAAACCCCUGUAUACUGAUAAAUAUACAGCAGACAUGAAUCGCAUUUCGUAUGCAAGAGUGUUGGUGGAAGUAGAUAUAUCCCAACCCCUAGUUGAGAAUAUAGAAAUUGAAGCUCCGUGUGGAAUAAUUCAAUAAGGGGUAGAGUAUGAUUGGAGGCUUAGAUUCUGCAAUGAAUGUAUUUGAUAUGGACACAACAUUGUGGACUACAGGUUAAAUAUAUAUCCAAGAAAGGAAGAAGAACAACCACUUUAAGAAAACGAGGAGUUCAAAGAGCCACCAAAAUGAAGAAGAAGGGUCAGAAGACGUAAGAAAAUAGUACCAACAUAGCUAGCUAAAGCAGAUGAGAGGCUCCCUCAAGCUAUACUAGCUAAUCAAGAAGGUCCAAGCAAGGAGGAUGCUACUCCCACGAGUAAGCAAGCUGAAACAGAACCAGUUUUAAGUCAAAGUAACUGAUAUGCACCACUAGCUAGAACAACUGAGGCAAAUGGUAACACUUCAAGGCCAGCAACUAAUACCACCCAUCAGCCCCAUGAUUAUGUGUACAUGGAAUGUAAGGGGGCUAAAUAAACCCUUUUAAGCAGAAAGAGGUAUUACUUUCUGAAAAAAGAAUAAAAUUGAUCUCUUUGGUUGCUUAGAGACUAGAAUAAAGGAAGAAAAGGCUAAACCAAUCCUGUUUAAAUUUGUAAAAGAAUGGAACCAUUGGUAUAACUAUCCUUAUGGUACGAAUGGGUGUAUAUGGAUGCUAUGGAAGAAAACAUAAAUGUGCAAGUUUUACACAUACAUGAGCAGUACAUUCACUGUGAGGUAGCAACCAGUAACUUCAGAGCUAAAGUCACAGUGGUGUAUGCUAGGAAAGAGGUGAAUAUAAGAUCAAUUCUAUGGAAGGAACUACAGUAAAUAGGUACAGGAUGUCAAGAACCAUGGUUGUUGAGUGGAGAUUUUAAUAAUGUGCUAAUAAAUGAUGACAGAGUGGGACAACCAGUUAUAGAGUCAGAAGUGCAAGGGUUCAAAGAUAUGAUUGACAAUUUACAGCUUACUCCUAUUAGAUCAAAAGGCAGUUAUUACACAUGGUGCAAUAAGCAGCAGGGAGCCAAUACGGUGUACAACAAAAUAGAUUAGGUACUUGGGAACCUUGAAUGGCUGUAAUAAUUUGGUCAGGCUGAGGUCAAGUACAUAGUGCUAGCUGUAUCUGAUCACUCCCCAGCUAUGAUUCAGUGUCUGCAGAGGACCAGUUUGCACCCAAAACCAUUAAGAUUAUAUACCACUGUCAUGGAACAUCCCCAGUUCCAUGAAAUAGUGCAACAAGUUUGAAAGGUACCUGAGAUAGGUGAUGCGAUGAUAGUUGUAUGGAAUAAGCUGAAAAGGAUAAAAAUAACACUAAAAGAUCUGUAUAAUUACACGGCAACGUAUUCUCACAAAUUGACUCAAUCAAGGCAGCAACUAGAGAUAGUGCAAGCACAUAUAACCACACGACUAUUUGAUCAAUCCCUGUUUGAGCAAGAAAAAACUCUCUUAGCUGAAAUCCAAAAGUGGAGCUUAGUGGAGGAGAAGGUAUUGAGACAAAAUCUAGAGCAUGUUGGAUUGAUUAUGGGGAUGCAAAUACAAUGUACUUUCAUGCUCAGUUGAAAAACAAACUACAACACUAUAUCCUCUAUCUACACUGAAGAUGGGGUGAAAGUAAAUGAUCCACUGGAGGUAGAGAAUGAAUUUAUCUCUUUCUUUAAAUCACUUAUGGGAAAGAAAGAAGAUGAGUUACCUUAUCUUGACUCAAUGUUAAUACAUAGUGGACCCAGAUUAGACAGAGACCAGCAGUUGAUAUUAAUUAGAAAAGUAACAUCAGAGGAAAUAGAGAAAGCUGUCAAAGGUAUGCCAAAUGAUAAAAGCCCUGGGGUAGAUGGAUUUCCCAUAGAACUCUUUAAAUCCAAAUGGAAGCAGGUCAAAACAAAGGUACGUGAAGCUGUACAAUAGUUCUUCCUAACAGACAAGAUGAUGAAGGCUUGGAAUUGCACAACACCCACCUUAAUACCUAAAGUACCUUCACCUACUAAAGUGAAGGACUUUAGGCAUAUCGCUUGAUGCUCUACCAUGUAUAAGGUGAUUUCAAAGAUCCUCACAAAUAGAAUAAAAAGAGUUUUAAAAAGUAUUAUUGGGUGCUCACAGUCUGCAUUCAUAGAAGGAAGGAAUAUUUCAGAUAAUAUACUCUUGAGCCAUGAGCUAUUCAAAAGAUAUACAAGGAAAUGGAUCUCCCCUAGAUGUGUACUAAAGGUGGAUAUUAGAAAGGCUUAUGAAACCCUUGAAUGGAGUUUUUUGCAAGCUAUGAUGAAUGAAUUGGGUUCCCAUAAAAAUUUAUCUAAUGGGUAAUGGAAUAUGUGUCCACAGUGUUCUAUUCUUUAAUGCUUAAUAGAGGUCUCACAAAGUCUUUUAAGGCUAAUAGAGGGUUGAGGCGGGGUGAUCCCAUGUCACCAUUCCUAUUUGUUAUAGCAAUGGAAUAUCUGCACAGAGAGAUGAUGCAACUGACACUAAACAAAUAAUUCCACUUCCACCCAAGAUGCAAAAGAUUUGGUUUUAUUCAUUUAUGUUUUACUGAUGAUCUCUUAAUGUUUUGCAGGGCUGAUCUGUCAUCUGUAUCCAUGUUACAAGAGUCCUUUCAUAAAUUUUCAUGUUCCUCAAGUUUGGAAGCUAAUCAGGAGAAGAGUUCCAUUUACAUGGUCGAGACCACACCAUACAUGAAAGAAGACAUACUGCAAUUGCUGAGUUAUGUGGAAGGAAGGCUGCCUUUCAAGUACUUGGGGGUUCGCCUAUCCACAAAGAAGUUGACUGUAUCUCAAUGCUUACCUCUGGUAGAGAAGUUCACAACUAGGAUUACAUGUUGGUCAGCAAAGUUAUUAUCUUACUCAGGUCGGUUACAACUGAUAAAGGUUGUUAUGUUUGGCAUACAAAGUUAAUGGGCUCAAAUCUUUAUACUUUUCAAAAGGAUAAUCAAGAUGCUGAAAACUAUAUGUCGAACAUUUCUUUGGACAGGCCAUAGUGAAUUAUCAAAGAAAGCACUGGUCGCGUGGGAAAGACUUUGAUACCCAGAAUCAGCAGGUGGGCUAAACAUUAUUAAUCUUAAGUUGUGGAAUAAGACAGCCAUCCUAAAGCACUUAUGGGCUAUCUCGAUGAAAAAAGAUACACUAUGGAUUAGAUAGGUACAUUACUACUACAUAAAGAAUAUCAAACUCGAGGACCUGGCAAGUCCUAAGAACGCAGCUUGGGUGAUGCAGAAGAUCAUAGAUCGUGGUAAAUUCAUCAUGUUACAGCAAUGCUACCAGGAGAGUAUAGAUCAAACCUUGAGAAGUCUGAUACAAGGUAACAAAUUCAAGAUUAAGAAAGCUUAUCUAACACUUCAGCCUCAAUUUCCAAGGGUGGUAUGGAAGAACAUCACACUACAUAAUAGAGUGCAUCUUAGAUAAAAAUUCCAUUUGUGGCUUGCAUUACAUGAGAGAUUAUCUACAGUUGAUAGACUUCAGAAGAUGGGGGUGCAAGUUCCUAUGAGCUGUGUUUUUUGUGAUCAAGAGGAAGAAAUAAUACACCACCUAUUCUUUAGAUGUCCUUACCAUAAGCAGAUCUGGACCAUAAUACUCAUAUGGAUGAGAGCAUACAGAGCAAUAGGUACAUGGCAUCAAGAGGUAGAAUGGAUAUGCAAGAUGGCAAAGAAGAAAGUUAUGAUCGCUGAGAUGCUAUGUAGUGUGUUUGCAAUGGUAGUAUACAACAUUUGGAAAGAUAGAAACAUGAUGAGGUUACAGAAUGGCAGAAGUGAUACAACUAAAAUAUGUCAUGAAAUAGCUAUGUACCUACACAUUCAGGGAAGAAACAAAACUUCUUGGCGGGAAAAGCUGCAAUUGCUGAAUUAUUUUCCUUAGGAGAAGUAGAAUUGAUACUUAUUGUAAAUGGAUUAUGGCUAUGUUAGUGUAUAGAUAACAUGAAUAGGCCAUAGAAAGACAAAUGAGGUGGUAGAUGAUCAGCUUCUAACCGACUAUGUAACGACUCACUUUUUUAUUAAUGAAAAUACCUGUUAAUCAAAAAAAAAUAUGAUAUUUAAGCAUGAUGCACAAAUAGACAGAAUAGUACUCCCAACUAGCAUCUUUCUAGCCUUUAAAGUAAUUUGAUUUAACAUGCACAUUCAAAUAUAAAAUAGUUAAAAUAAUACUUUAAUAUUAAUUGUGCAUCGCACGGGUAUGUAUACUAGUAUAUACAUAUAAAGGAGAGUAUAGAAAAGGUGAUGUGACACCUUUCUAUGGCCUCCAAACCUAUUUAUCUAUUUUCUCUGUUUUUUAACUUCUCUUAUUUAAAUCUAUUUUUCAUAUAUAAUUAAUACUCUAUAUUCCCAUUUAUUUGAAAGUAAUGACAUAACAUUUGUUAAAUAUCAUGUUAAAAUAUCCAACAUAAAUUUUCUGGACUUUUUCUAUUAUUUUUUCUUAAAUGAUGAUGGAAGAGUAAUGUGUAAUUAAUUUUGCACAUAAAUGAAUAAAAUAAGAAAGAGAGAAAUUUUUUAAAGUUAAUUAAGGAAGUCGUCACCUAAUUAGUUCUAUGGUUGAUUAAGAUACCUAUUAAAAAUUAUGUGAUUAAAAUAAAUAGAAACUUCAUUUUAAAGUCUAAGUAACUUAAGCGAUUCUAGAUAAGAGUUUCAAUUAUCCUAAAGAAAAGGGACUAAGCACCCUAAAGGAUUUGUUAACUACGGUUAACUGAUCAAACUUAUGUUGAUAAAAUAUAUAUGAAAAAACUUAAUUAUUAAAAAAAAUAUUUUAACUAUUUCAUAAGUUCGGAAGAAGGCUAUUUACGAAAUAAGCGAUAACACGAUGAAUUUCUAUGAAAAUUAACUAAAGCAACACUUAAGAAAACAUUUAAAAGGCAUUAAUUGUGUUAAAAUAAUGUAGGUGUAAUGAAAUAUAAAAAAAAACAAGAAGAAUAAAUAGAGAGAAGAGGGAAACUUCUUUAUUUCUUGAGGGAUGAGAGAUACUUGAUUGAGAAUACAAUGAAUAAAAUCCCUCUAUUUAUAAGGGAAAAUACUCUUAGUUUCUAACUAAAAGACAGAUACUACAAAUCCUGAUAGAUAUCAACUAGAUCUUAUUAUAAAUCUUAUUAGAUCUUGAUAGAUAUUCACUAUAAUAUAAAUAAUAACACUCCCCCUUGAAUGUCUAGAUAGAUAAUGUGCCUCGUUAAAACCUUACUAGAAAACACCCAGGGAGAAAAAAAUCUAGUGAAGGAAAAAGAGUACACAUCUCUAACAAUACGCAUAUAGGCUAUCUCAUUAAAAAUCUUACAAGAAAAACCCAGUGAGACAAAAUCUUGAAAGGAAAAAAGAGUACAACACGUAUUUCCUCCCCCUAAUGAGAACAUCCUAGAACCUUUGCAUCCCGAUCUUAUGCACCAUCUUCUUGAAAGUCAUAAUUGGAAGAGACUUGGUGAAUAAAUCAACCAUAUUAUCACUCGAACGAAUCUGUUGCACGUUAAUAUCACCAUUCUUUUGUAGCUUAUGUAUGUAGAAAAGUUUUGAUGAACUGUGCUUCAUUCUAUCUCCCCCUUAAGAUGUGCUAUGCAUGCUGCAUUAUCUCUAUAUAAAAUUGUGGGUACAUUGUCACAUUUCAAACCACAUUUUUCUCGAAUAAGAUGUAUUGUAAAUCUCAACCAUACACAUUCUCAACUAGCUUCAUGAAUAGAUAUUAUCUCAUCAUGGUUCAAUGAAGUGGCUAGAUAGACUGUUUUAUAUAUUUCCAAGAUAUGACAGUGUCCCCACAUGUGAACACAUUACAUGUUUGAGACCGAGAUUUAUGAGGGUCAAAUAAAUACCCAACAUCAGCAUGACCAAUAAGAUCGGGACUACAAUCUGUAGAAUUAAAUAAACUCAUGUAUUUUAUCCCAUUUUGAUGUCUCCUUAUAGGAGCAGAAAUAUACCUUGCUUAACAAAUUGACUGAAGAGGCUAUAUUAGGCCUUGUAGUAUUUGCAAGAUACAUUAGUGCACCACUUGCACUAAGAUAUGGUUCUUCAUAACCAAUUCAAUUCGCUAUAUUUCUUAUUUCAGCAAAUAAUCUAUUGCUUUUGAAAACUCUCCAAGAGUUUUAAUAAUUUUCAAGCUAUAAGCUUAUACAAUAUAAGGAUUAUAAAUAAGUUUUCCAGAAACCUUUAUAUUCUUCAAACAUUUUGAAUCCUUGAAAGUUUUCAUGUAAAUUUUUUCAAGUGACAAUAUUCAACAUUUCAUUAGUGACAUCUUCAAGCGUUUGGAUUACAAAUCAAAUAAGUUUUAUGCUUACCAAGAUUCAUCCUUUCAUGUCAUUUGAUAAAUAUUUCUACGUCAGCAUACUUAAAUUAACGUAGAAUUCAGAUCCUUAUAAUUCUUCACAAUAUUGCACCAAUAUUGUAUCAAAAAUAUUAAUGAUAUAUUAUUUUGUACCGAUUCACAAUGAGAGAUAACAUUUUGAGAUCUCAUCACUUCAUUAUUUUCAAGUACCUGAACCUUUCAUAAGAUUUCAUAAAGUGUUGUGUCGUAGGUUCUAAAAGCACAUUGCCUUCUUAUUAUGAUUAUUUGCUCCUUAUCUUUUUAAGAAUUAUUUCAUUUAGAAUCGAUUGAUCUACCACGCUUCACGCAUGCAUAGAUUUUGUCUAUUAGGGACACAAAAUAGGAGCACUUGCAGCUUAAAUAUGAGAUGCUUUCGAAAUUUGACUUGAAUUAUCUUUUGAAUGAGGAUCUGAUGAUAAUUCCUAACAUAUUUCUUAGCUGUUUAUAAUCUCUCCCUUAUGUUAGGAAAACUAACAUACAUCCUCCUUCUUCUUUGAAAAAAUCAUCUUUGUGCAUCAUGGUAUAUUUAUUAAUUGUAUACCGCACAUCAAAACUAUUAGAUGGAAUAGUUGGUUCCUGAUCUUGAACCAAUUGAGAGGGAAGAAAUAAUCAUAAUUUAUUGGUCCAAUGCAUACAAGUGCUAUUGAAUGCAACAUAUCAUAUUUCAGACCAACAUAAGAAGCUUUGUUCUCAUUAGUAAUGGUUUAGCUAUUUAUCAAAGACAUUCAAUGCUAAACCAUCAUUAUCAAAAUGAAUUGUCUUGAUUACACAAUCUAAAAAUUAUGUUUUUAACUCAAUUUUAUUGAGCAAGCAACUUUAUGAAUAUCAAAUGGCAGGUUGACAAUGAAUGUACAUGUGAUCAUCUUAUAUUGAUGCACUUUAAUAGAUCACAUGACAGGUGAAUGAGCCCAUAUUCACCUUUUAUACUUUUCAGAUUUAAGGAAUUCAAUUCCAACAUUAGUUGGUCCAACCAACUUAUCAUGAGAACAAGCUACAAAUAAUUCUCGAAAAAUCUUUUAGUUCUUCAAUACAUGUCUAAUAUUCAAUAUGCGCAUCUUCGAGAUAUCAUAAUCGUUCAUAUCAAUUUAUGAACUUUUAUUCUAGUAAACUCCAAGUUUAUCAUGACAUGUACUUUUUUCUUUAGUAAAUUUCAGAUUUACUAUUACAUGAAUAAAUUUCAGAUUUACUACUUUAGAAGUAGUUUUUGAAAUAACUCUUCUCAGUUAUUCUGCCUCAUUUGGAGGUGAAUUGUGAUACCAUCGCAAUCAAGUGCACGUUUGCAUUAAUAAGCUUCUCAUUCCCCAGGAAUGAAAUAUAGUCAUGCCUUAAGCGUAUCAAAUUAUGAUAGCUACUACAAUAGCAAAUUGAGAAUACAUAUGAUUUAUUGCUACCACAUAGGAAUGGAGCAUAUUUAAUGGGACAUGUUUUACCAAAUACUCAUUAUUUUGCCUUAGCCAUCAUAAUAUUAUCAAUAUGGUGCAUUGAGAUUCAAACUCAACAUCUUAUCCAUAUAGUGUCUUAGGCAUAAAUCGAUGGGGAUUGAACCCAACAUAUUAUCAUUCCUUUUGAUAAUAUUGUUCUUGAGGAAUAAAAUUAAAACAUAAAUGGUUCCAAACCAAUUAUUUUUCCUCAAAUCCAACAAUAAUUACAUUAUUAGUAGCAAAAGACAAAUAAUAUAAGGAGACGACUGCUGCUAUGGAUGGGUGUACAGAGGAAUGUGGGAGACUAAACACUGAAGUGGAGUGGGUGGCUAAACAAGCAAAAGGAAGAUCAGCCAAAAGCUCCAUCAUCAGUAGUGUCUUUAGAAUGGUGAUCAAUAUAAUGUGGAGAACAAGGAACUUUAUCAGAUUCCAACAGGGCAGCUAUAAUGAAGAUCAAGUUUGCAGGGAAAUUGCUAUCCAUGUCCAUAUUCAGAGCAAAACUCAAAGGAAAUAGAAAGGCCCUCUACAACAGCAAGCUGCAGUACCGUGAUGAACACCACCUAAAUUGCUGAUACAAGGUUUACAUUGUAAUGUUGGUUGGAAAGUCUUGAUUAGUUACUACUAAAUCAGAUUCCCUAGCUGAAUGGGUGAUGUCUUAGAGAUAGUAUAAAUUUGUUACAUGUAUGAGAAACAGGGGGUCUGACCCUGUUUGGAACUUUGUAAAUAUCCUUUUGGUGAAAUAAAAUGCUUAUUUACCAAAAAAUAUUACUAACCUUGAAAUCCUUUAGAUUUAUAAUCUCACCUUUUUUGGUAGAGUCUCAUGCCGAUAACGUGUUAUGAAAUAUAAAAACAAAAACAAGAAGAAUAAAUAGAGAGAAAAGAGGGAAAUUUCUUUAUCUGUUGGGGGAUGAGAGAUAUCUUGAUUGAGAAUACAAUGAACAAAACUGUUCUAUUUAUAGGAUAAAAUACUCUUAGUUUCUAAAUAAAAGACAGAUACUUUAAAUCCUGAUAGAUAUCAACUAGAUCUUAUUAUAAAUCUUAUUAGAUAUUGAUAGACAUUUACUAUAAUGUAAAUACAUUUAUAACAGUAGGUCUUUUCUAAGGGCUUGGAGAAAUUCAAGCUUUAAAAAUAAUCAGUGGUUUUAUUACCUCAAAUUUCAGGUCAAAAGGGUCAAAGAGUUAUCCCCAAACAAAACUGUCCGGACUCAAUUUGUUUUAAAAAAAUUAUAAUUCAUGUAAAGUUCUAAAAUGUAGGUAGCAACAACUCAAAAUUACUUUCUAACUAAUCACGCAAUCAGCUGUUUUUGCACAUGAAAGAUCCAAAUGACUCAAGAAAAUUUUGAAGACUUGCUCAAACUAAUAGUAUUUAGCAAACCUUAAAUCUCUUUCAUCUUGUUGGAAUAAUAUCCCAAUUAAUCUCUCUAACGUAGAUAUUAAAAAAUUAAUAAUUAAUCUAGAAAUUGUUGAGUUCUAAGUGAAAAUGUGAAUGGAAAAGGAAGAAAAAAGGGAAUUGUGUUUUCACUUUAAGCAAGUAAUGUUCUCCAACAUUGGUGAGAGAAAGGAACUUUCUUAUGCUUAUGUUGAGAAGCAUUCCUUCAUGUGGUAGUGAGGCAAGAACAAGAAAAGCCUCACACCGUCAUCACUCGACUUGUUCUUCAUUUUUGAAAAAUGAUCGAGAGAUUACCUUUUUGGACAAAAUUCAUUUGAAACUUGAGAAUCAGUGAAGUUUUUAAUCCAAAAAUUCAAUAGAAAAUAUUUUCUCCAUUUGCGAACGCAUGUCACAAUACACUUCGAAGGAACGCGGCCCUUUAAGGCACUGUUUCAGAAAAUAAAUGUCGAGUCGAAAUAUUCUGUGGUCCGAGUCAUCCAGACUUUUUGAAAAGUGACAACUUUUCAUGAACCAUUGCUUCUUUUUUGAAGGAACUCUUUAUGGCUAUAAAUACUCAAUUUUUUCCCAGAUUUUGGUAUGAAAUUUUGAAGUGAGAAAACAUCUUCAAACUCAAACGUGAUCUUCAAACUGUCGAGUGAGUUCGUUGUUCAGAAAAUUUGAGGUACCACUAUUUUCUUAAGUGAAUCAUUUUAUCCUGCGAGGAUAUAUUCCAUUAACCUCGGGUACUUGAGGAAAAAAAAUUUCUUAAGGAUACAUCGUGAAUUCGGUGGACUUUAUUUUAUCAUUUCUGUAUUCAUCUCUUUCAUAUGGUUUUGCUAGUUUCCAGAUAAUAGUUGAAAUUUCAUUUUGAUAAUUCAUAAAUUAUUUAUAAUUGUGCUUGAAGUUGGUAGAACUUUUUUGUUGUUAUGAAAGUUGUUCUUGAACUUAGUGUAAAAGUUCUUCUUGUUAAUACAAAUUUUGUACCCGGAAACAACUGAAAUAAGCCAAAACAAAAAAUCACAUAAAAAGGCAUAAUAUAAUUAAACAAUCAUAAGGUAAGUAAAAAGAAAGCCAGCCUUCUCCCUUUUUCUUACUUCUGUUUGGACAUUUUGAAAGGAGGGACGAGAUUCAAUGAAGAAGCAAAUUCAAACUCCCUGAUUUUCUCUUUGUUCGGACGACUUGAGAAAGAGAACGACACCCAGUAAAAAAUGAGAUACAUUUAUCAAGUCUAUGGUGAUUUCAAGCCUCAGAGUGAGAUUUAUUGUAGCGCGUGAGAUUCUUUGCAAAGACUUCAUUUUGAGUUCAAAGUGUUCAUGUAAAUAAAGAAAAAGUAAGAAAAUUAGACAAAAAUCUUAACAGUAAAGGCAAAAACAAAAUAAAUUAGAUCAUAUGACACUCAACUGAAGAUAACAUAAAAUUAAGUAAAAAGAAGUCGAAUAAAUAUUUUUGAAAAUUCAGGCAGUAUCUCGAGCCAUAUAAAAAUGGAAGAGCAUAACUUUAAGUCAGGAUACUUGUCACAAUCCAAAAUCAGGUAAUGAUGGCACUUAUCGUAACUCAAUCUUUAUAAGUAAGUCAAUCAUCCAAACUGAAAAAGGAAUCACGAAAUUACAAUAACAUACAUCCAGGAGAGAUUUCUAGAAUGAAGUCAAGCCAAACACUAAAUAUAAUUAAAACAGAAUAUGAAAGAAAUCUAUAGACUCGAUCUCAAAAUCUGAUGUAAUAGCAUAAGAGCAUCUAAUAUAAUAUCCAAAACUGAAAAUACAUAGUCUGUCUCUGAAAUAGUAAGCAUGGAGUCGACUCUGAAAAUCCUAAAAUAGACUAGUACCUUGAAGUGUCACCAACUUCACCACAGGAAUCAGCCUCCGUGAGUCGUACUCAUGCUAGUAUCUGCAUCGAAAGGGCACAAUAGGGUGAGUACGUUCCACUUGUACUCAGUAGGUAUCAUAGGUUGACUGAACAAAGUAGAAAAUAAGUUAAGUAAAAUAUACUAUGAGCAUAUCACCUGCAAGUAAAAGAGUCUCAAACGGUAGCUCACACAGUCUCCACUAACAGUUCUAAUAUAUAUAAUUACACAAAAACAGUAGCAAUAUAGAAAUAAAAGAAAAAUACAAUAAAACUAAGCACAAGACAAGAAAACUAAGGAAAAAAAAAGCAAGAUGCCUAUGCAAAUGCGAUGCAAUGCAAUGUGGAUGGGAUAAAUAAUGUUACAUGACUUUCUAGAUGCACCUACCAAGCUCGCAACUACCAGGUAGGAGCCAUGGGGGGUUUGCAACUCAUAUACUGUAUCUCAAUCUCAAACUUAACUAACCUCUCCGAUUUGUGCUCAUGGAGAGAAUUUUCAUGACAAUGUCGUAUUUUCUUUCAAAAACAGUGUUUCUCAAUAGUACCAGUAUCUCAUGAAUGUAUAUGUAUGGAAUAAGGAUGUAAUGCUCACAAUUAACUCAAAUGAUGAUAUCCAAUCCGUCCGGCACAAUAUAUAUAUAUAUAUAUAUAUAUAUAUAAGCCCUAGAAAUCAACUCAAUAUGUCCACAAUUCAUGAUCAUCAACUCCAAACAUGCACUCACAUACAAAAUUGUUGCUUUCACAAUAGUUCUAUAUAAAUACACUUUGAUAAGCAUCUUAUUUUUUAACAAGACCCUCGUAGCACUCCAUUUCACCCCUUUUCAAAUUUUAUACAUUGUAUCUUAAUCUAUCUUUGACAUUAUCUUAAAAGAGAAAGCUUAGAUAUUUAAAUUAUUUGCCCUCCUCUAAGGAAGCACUUUAGUACAUAAGCUUUGAUUAUGUAUGGGACUUGAGAAAGAACUGGACAAUAUCAUAUUUAUCACAUGUGUUACAAUCUAUUUUUAAACUAGUAAAAAAAUAUUUCAUAACUUCGUGGGGGAAAAAGUCUAUUUGAUUUUAUUUUGAAUUUUUUUUUUAGAAAAAAUAGAGUCGCCAAGUAAUUUUAGAAAAAUAAGAAACCAUUUUAAAAGAUAAUUUUUAAAGAAAAUCUUUAAUAAUAAAAAAAAUCAGAGUCUAGUUAAGGGUUUAAGUAAAUUCGAAGGAAGGUAUUAGGCACUUUUAAAAAUUCACAAAGUGUGAUUUCCGACGGAUUCAACUUAUUUGGAUAAACAUGAAAUAAAUUCCUAAGUUAUAAAAUCUUGAAAUUAUUUUAGAAGAAUUUUGAAUUUAUUUGAAAAUGUCAAUUUAAAUAAAUAGAAUUCAUUUGGUACUUAUCCAUUUAAUCCAUUUUAAAUAAUGAAAUAAACUAAACAUCAAGUUUUGAAAUAAUUCUAACUUUAAUAUUUUUAUCCGAAUUAAGCCUUUGACAAAAUAGUUGAAUCAAUUUCUUAAACGCGGAUUUAAGCUGCCUAAUAAUUAUGAAAGGACAAAGAAAAUUCUCCAAGUUAUUCUUUGAGCUUAAGUUUGCCUAAAUAGAGCAAAUUAAAAAAUAGUACAUGACCAAAAUAAAAUAAAUAAGUUUAACAAAAAAACUUACUCCAUGAGGAUUCAUCUAGAUUAACUAAAUUAAAUUACAAACAAAGUAAGUAAAAAUACAAGAAAAUAAAGGAAGAAAAGAUGAGAUUUAGGCUCCUUUCUGGCCCAUUUCAGAUCAGCCCAGAUUUUGGGCCUAUUUUAAUGGGCCUUUUCUCAGCCCUUUUUCAAUUGUAUACCAUCUGUAUUUCAGAUCCUCUUUUUCACAGUUUUAAGGCUGUAUACACACACUGUAUAUCAGCUUGCGAAUUUGUAUACGAGCGUCUUUCUCUCAUGUUUUGCCCUUUUGAAUCCAUAUCAGCUUUCCAAACCUAUAUAUAAUGUAUCUUUUGUAUAUCUUUUUAUACAACCUUGAUCUUCAUGAUUUUAGUCCAUUUUUGGACUUGGAGGAGGCUUGACUUAACAUAUUAGGCCUCCAUGGAUCAUCAUAAAUACAAAGAGGGAAUGGAGUCCAAUGGACUCAGAUAGGAGGCGCGUGCAAAGAAAAAAAACCAUAAGUAAUUAGGGAAAAAUAACUAAAGCAAAUGGCAAAUUCACAGUUAAACAACAUAAAUACUAUCAGUAGAAUUUAGUUCCUAUCUCAUAUUGGGAAGCUAAGAAAAACACAAUUUUAAGAUUGCAAUUGGGGAAGGAUUUGCUUGCAGGUUCAACUUUAACACCUCUUAGUUUAAAUAAAAGAUCAAACAAGUACAUAAUUCAGUAAAGCGUUGAUUCUCAUUUCUUAGCCAAAUUUUCAUUCACAACUUGCAAUCAAACUUGAUUUUGCUGCAUACUAAGGUUUGAUUACAACUUUUUAGAAUGUAAGAUGAAUCAUGAGGCAGCCAUCAACAUUGCCUAAUGAAUCAAAAUAAGACCUGACAUCAUAAUUUAACAAUAACAUUCUAGAAGGCUUCACAGAAUCUAUGUAUGAUCUCCCUUAAAACAUUGCAGAUUAGCUAAACAAUAUGCGAAUGUAAGAAAUGAUCUGUUAUCUCUCGUCAGGCAAACAACAGAUGGAUUUUCAGAACCAAAACUGUUAGAAAAUAUAUAGAAUUCAACCUUUAAUGUUCUCAAGCAACCAAAAGAUGAGCAGAGUGCAAAAAUAGAUGAUUCGAAUUCACCAUUGAGCACUCUUACACCUCAAAACACAUAAAGAUUUAAUUUUCAACUUUUAAUGAAGGCAAAAUUAUGAAUAUGAAUAAUCAACUGAACAAUUUUCUUUUGUUCUUCUUAUUUAUAAGAUCGUUAUUCGAUCCGCAUAUGAUUGGUAAACAGAAUAAUCUUAUCCUUGGAGAAUAAUAAAUAAUGGACAGUGUUCAAUUGGAACAUAAAAAUGUGACUAAAUUGGUCCUAGUUACUCUUCGGGGCGGAGUAAAGAUUUAGACAUAAUAAGCAACAUUGAGAUGGAACUAAAUCAAGAAACAUGAGCCUAACACCAGCUAACUGAAUUAAGGCAAACAUAUUUAAUUAACGGAACUACGUAACAAAUACCAUUACACAAAAAUCCUAUGGCCUUCAAUGCCUUCUACAACACAUAAUCCCACCAUAAUUGUGAUUAUGAAAAAUCGUUAGCCAUAAAAAGAAGAAGAAGAACAAAUAACUAAAUAAUUGAAAAAGAGAAAGAUGUGUUACCUUUUACGGAGCAGCAAACAGUGACUUCGGACUUGUUAAAUUCUCUUUGCACCACCAAAAACUUCUAACAAAAUUCCUUAGCAAACAGUGACUUUGGGCUUGUUAAAUUCUCUUCACACCACCAAAAAACGUCUAACAAAAUUCCUUAGCCAGAAUCCUAAGCCAAACUAUCUUACAAGAAUUUAGCGCAGGAACUUCAAUUUAGUAAAAUUUCUUUCUCAAUCGGGGUUCUCAGCUAGCUAAUGCCUCUUCCCUCCAACCUCCUAAAAUAGUGGAGUAGGGAGGUUUAUAUAGGUGCGAAUCAGAUUCGAUUUGGGGUUGAAUUAGCAAUGUGGGAUGAAAAAAUAGGCAGCGUAUCUGUAACACCCUGAGAAUACACCCUGGGCGCCACACGGUGCUUACAGUCCCGAGGAACCACAAGCUAACCCAUGAGCUGGUACCUGCUGUGAGCACUGAAUAAAAUAUAAUAUACGCGGAAGAACAACUGAUAAGCCAUAAGGUUUUAAGUAAUAAAAACUGAUAGAAUCUGUAAACCAAACAGAUAAAAUAAUUUGACUAUGUCAACUGAAGUCUGAACGCUGAAUAACUGACUGUAAUAUCUGAAAGCCUCUAAACUGACUAAAUGUAAGUUGAUGGGACAGGCCCCAACUAACUCCAACUAGCUACUAAACUGAAAAUAUGAAGUAAAAUAGUAUGUCAUCGAGAUAUGAGGACUCACCACUGCUACAGCUGAUAGUCUAAGAAGUCUAGGCACGAUGCGGGAACUGGGUGUCCGAACCUAUGAUAUGAUACAUCAUAGCACAAAAAAAAGUAUGUGAUCAGUACUUUGAAUGUACUGGUAUACUAAAUGAGGUAAGCUGAUAUGCUUGGUUUCAUGAACAUAAAUAAUAGUUGUCUGUAUGUAUGUAUGUAGAGAUAUAACAUGUAAUACUAGAUAGAGUGCAUGAAAUCUGUAAAAACUGAGGAUACAUGAAGUCUAUAAAUGCUGAGAAUACAUGAAAUUUGUAACUGCUGAGGAUACAUGACCAAGCAUUAACACGUUCUGAUUAUAUUUUGUAAAUACUGAAACACUGAACUCUGAUAACUAAAUCACCAAUAUCUGUAUGCUAUGUCCAAGCAACCGAAACUGAAUUUCUGGACUGAUUACUGGACUGAGACUGUGAGAGUUAUCAUCUAAUCGACAUGCCCCAAUUUGAGCUAAUCGGGGUCCAACCUGUAACCCCAGUUGGAAGGGUGCCAGUACCAUGCCACGAGUACUAACGCUGGUUGUGUGAAUCCACUAUAUUGAUGUACUGUCCCGAAGGACUAAGAUUGUCAAGCCUAAUCUGACGGGUGACCCUUGGAAGGUAGUCAAGCCUAAUCAGAUGGGUGACUCAUCUUAUCCUACUCUGGCUACGUAGUUCUAGAGUUCAGGGACUGUUACUAACGACUCUGCCUAUUUGACGGGGAAGCCGCCAUCCCUGUCCUCACUCGGUGCUAAAUCCUACUCCCAACUGAAUUGACUCAGAAUACUGAACUGUUAUGAGUUUAACUGAUUAUGAUAACUGACUGAACUGAUAUUGCUCAUAAUAUGUCUGAAACUGUUCUGAAUCUACUAAGACUAAGUAAACAACUUAACAUGGGAGUAUUUAUUUAAAAUCCACUCUCGUAGGCAUUUCAUCAAACAUUUGAUAUGCAUGGUGUACAUUAAGCAAGAGAAUAGUUAAAGCUUGUAGUAAAAGCACAAUUUCAAUACCAAUAUCACAGAUCAUGAAUUAAAUCAGUGGACAACAACAUUUAAACAUUUGGAGUGUAAUAAUCAACAUCAAUUUCAUAAAAACCUGGUAUAGGACAAGAUUCAUGGAAUUUUCAUGGUUAAAUCACAAUUUCAAAUCAUAAAUAACUUGAAAAGAUCAUAACUUUGUAUCUAAAUUGGAUAUGUGGGCUUCAUGGGUGAAAGAGACCCAUGAACACUUAACAUACCUGAAAAGAUGAGUUCUUGAAGGUUCUUGGAGGAUUGCUUUAGGAUUGUUCUUGAUUCUUGAAGCUAGGGUUUUGUUGAUUUGAGAGAGAGUAACUUAAAUCUUAAGAGAGUGAGUGAAUAAUGAAAUAAUAAGCAAUUAGUGCUCUUUUAGGACUUAAUUUCAUAUUUAGGACUGAUUAGGGUCGUGAAAAAAUAUCAAAUUACCCCUGAAAUGAUUUAAUAAUUUCAUCACUGAAAAUCCAAUCUUGGCCUUCAUCGCGAUGCGGUGGCAUCACGGUGAGCCACUAGAAAUUGACUGGGAACUGUGUAAAAAAAACGAACAUGAAAUUGACCCUUAGCGCGACGCGGUGUUAUCGCAAAAUCACACUGGAAAGUGACAAUUGGAAAAUUGGACAUUGGCACGACGCGAUGGAAUCACGUUGCCUCACUGGAAAUUGACAAUUGUAGACUAGAAUAUUGGCGCGAUGUGUCAUUAUUUCGAUGGCAUACUGGAAAAUAACAAUUGCCAUUUGGAAUGGCUCCGCAAUGUGGUACUACACCAGGUGGCACACUAUUUUACAAAAAUUGCUCUAACUCUUCGUCCGGGUAUCGAAUUUGGGCGAAUUUUAUAUCAUUGGAAAGUUGAACGAAUUUCCUACGCAAUGGCAGGUCUUAAACUUAAAAAUUAUGAUUAUUUUAAAAAUUUUAUAUAGGAAUACUCAUGCACUAAGAGUUAAACCGAGCUAGGGAAAUACGAGGUAUUACAAUAUCUCCCCCUUAAGAACAUUCGUCCUCGAAUGAGACUGAUUAAGAUGAGAAGUACUGAUAAACUGAGUUUACACACUGAACAUGCACAACUGAAGCAUGAUUGCAUGAAUGAAACUACUGUUAAACUGAGUUUUCUUACUGAAUAUGCACAUCUGAUGUAUGAGUACAUGGCUAAACUGAUUCAUAAAUGCAUAACUAUCAUGAAGAUGAUAUACAACGGUAACUGAUACUAAGGUUUGUAACUGUAACUGAAUAUGAAACCUAGUAAAUCUAAGAAAGACUGUUACCUUAAGCUGAAUCUGAGUUUGCAAAGAAAAGGUGAGGAUACUUGGUCCGCAUAUCUGCAUCUGUUUCCCAAGUAGCUCCCUCAACGAACUGAUUUCGUCAAAGAACUUUGACCAAGGAAACUUCUUUGUUCCCCAGUCUGCGAAUCUGACGUUCGAGAAUUUCGAUUGGGACCUCUUCGAAAGAGAGAUCAUUCUGAAUGCUUACACUUUCUAAAGGAACGACAGCUGUUGGGUCUCCGGUGAACUUCUUUAUCAAGGAGACGUGGAAUAAUGGGUGCACUGAAGCUAGAUCUGAAGGCAACUCAAGCUCGUAAGCUACCUUUUCGAAACGACUGAGAAUUUUGUAAUGACCAACAUAUCGGGGACUAAGCUUCCCUUUCUUGUCGAACCUCUUUACUCCCUUCAUGGGAGAGAUCUUUAGGUACAUAAAGUUGCCAAUCUCAAACUCGAGAUCCUUUCUCCUCACAUCUGCAUACGAUUUCUGUCGGCUCUAGGCUGCUUUAAGCCUUUCCCUGAUCAACUGAACCUUCUCUAAGGCAUCAACACUAAGUCAGGCCCUACUACUGCGGCCUCACUUACCUCGAACCAACCAAUUGGACAUCUAUAUCUCCUACCAUAAAGAGCUUCAAACGGAGUCAUCUGAAUACUAAAAUGAUAGCUGUUAUUAUAUGCGAAUUCGGUCAAAGGCAAGUGGUCAUCCCAACUACCUUUAAAAUCAACAACACAAGCUCUUAACAUAUCUUCUAGAGUCUGAAUGGUCCUUUUUGCUUGACCAUCUGUCUGAGGGUGAAAAGUUGUACUGAGAUGAACUUGGGUACCAAGACCCUUCUGAAAAGCUUUCCAAAAGUGAGAAGUAAACUGAGUACCUCUGUCUGAAAUGAUAGAUAGAGAAAUACUGUGCAACCUAAACAACUCUUUGAGGUAGAGCUUGGCAUAGUCUUCGGCUGAAUAAGAAGUAUGGACUAGCAAAAAAUGGGCUGACUUGGUCAUCCUGUCUACGAUAACCCAAAUUGAAUCAUGUUGAUGGCAGGUACAAGGCAAACCCGUCACAAAGUCCAUGUUCACUUCUUUCCAUUUUCAUGUGGGAAUACUGAACUCCUGCAUAGACCCACUAGGCUUUUGGUGCUCAAUCUUAACCUGCUGACACGUAGAGCACUUAGCUACAAAUUCUGCAAUAUCUCUCUUCAUCCCACUCCACCAAUAGAUCUCCCGCAAAUCGCGGUACAUCUUAGUGGCCCCCAGAUAAAUCGAGUACUACACACCAUGCGCUUCUGCAAGAAUUCACUGUCUCAAAUCAUCUACACCUGGCAUGCAUAGUCUACCCUGGCAACGCAACAACCAUCUCCCCCUUGGGUUGGGACGGAUUGGGAUGGGUUGACCCUUUAGAAACAAUAAAAGCAACACGAAACAUGGUAAACAGAAAUAUUGUAAGUACUAGACUACCACUAACUUUUAUGGUUUCACUUUCAUAUGUCUCCUACUAAUUUUUAGCAUGUUUUAGGUAUCUUACUAAUACUUUUAAGGUUGUUAGGUUGNNNNNNNNNNNNNGAUAAUUGAUCUCGGAAUUUGUUAUUCCACCAUGUAUACGGAUAAUUUAUCUCAUCAUUAUGAUGUAAAUGGUGCGAUAAAUAAUGUCGGUACUAACUAAUACCUCACACCUAACAUGGGAUAAAAUAGUCCUUCAUUAUCUCGAAUUAUUUAUCUCUUAUACCUCACACCAAACAAUCUUUUAGUUGUAAUUAGCUUAUGACAUUUAUUGUAAUAAGCAAAGAAAUGAUAAUUAGCUACAAAUUCCAUAGAAAAAUUCUAAUAUGGCUAAGAUAAUAAAUACAGAUAUACACAAAGUAUCUAAAUAAAAGCAGCAAGAUUAUAAUAGAAGAGAGCCUAAAUUUAAAGAACAAAAUAUUGCAUUAAGCAAAGGCAACAACUACUAGACCAUCACGAGUAAAAACAACUUUUUGAAGUUCACAACUAAAAGCAGCUUAUAAGUCAUUUCAAACACACACUAAGAACUUCCAAAAAAAAUAGUAUCAACCAAAGAAUGGAUAAAAAAAAAUAAGUAGCUAGUUAGAAAAGAUUGACAAAAUUCUAAUUCCUAAUAAAUAAAUGACCAACUUCAAAAUAUUUAACAAUUAUUUUUAAUAUCUCAGCCUAUGGGCUGACCUCUGAGGCUAACGGGUUAGGCCUCUGAAGCCGACGAGCCAAGUGAGGUUGGACUUAUAAGCCUCAUUUCUAAAUGGAUUGAAAAAACUUAGCCCAACCCCAUUUAAUUAAAGGGUUGGAUUGAGCCAGCCUUACGGGUUAUGCCCAUUUUGACAGCUCUACUUUGGAGGAAAACCAUUUUCACUCAUUUUUUUGACUUCUUGUCCUUGCUACAAAAUUAGGAGAAAUGAAAAUGUCUCACCUUUUUAUUCAGUAAUUUUCAUUAUAAAAUUAUUGUCACGUGACCAAAACCCUUGUGGUCCUGGUCUUCCCUAAAUUUCGUGUAUAGCAGGAGCUUAGUGCACCAUGGUCUUUCUAUUACUAAUAAAAUAUAGCCUACACUUAAAACACUGUUCAGUUUUGUGGGCAUUAUUGUCAGUACUCUAGCAUAUCUUUGUAUGCUAUCCAUGUUGAAUUUGGAAACCCCUAGCUAUCAACCCAUGAGAUUUUAAAAGUUUCAGUCAGAAAUCAGAAUCUCUUCUAAUAAAAUAUCAAAACAAUUUAGUAGAGCCUAAAUUUUAUUGGUUAAACCCCUGCAUGUGAGACGUGGAUAGCAUCGCACUUCAUCAAAUACCAAUAAUAAGUAAUAACUGUCAGUGAGCGCCACAUUCUCCACCACCCUCUCAUACCCCCAAGCAAGUCUCUCUCAACUUGCCACAGAGGAGAAGUAUGUCAAGAAUUUUUCUUGCUCUGCUGCUUUUCAUGUUUGUCACAAAAAUUUCAGGUAAAAUCCCAACUCUUUUGCAUUUAGAACGAGUUGAUUUCUCAUAUAGUCACUCGACUAAUAGUGAUUAUUUCAGAAAGUCACUUUCCUUGUUGAUAAAAAAAAAGGAAUCAAUAAGGAAGGCGACUUUCUGAGAUAAUAACUACUAGUUGAGUGACCACCUGACAAAUCCUAUUUGGUAGAUUAAGUUUUCCGCCAUUUGAUAGUCAUAUUUUAUUUCCACUUUUUUUGUUUUGGUGCUUUCAUAGUGAAUGGGCAGCUAGAAGAAUGGUGCAUAGCAGAUGAGCAGACACCAGACAAUGAGUUGCAAGUAGCUUUAGAUUGGGCAUGUGGGAAAGGAGGUGCAGAUUGUAGCAAGAUUCAGAAGGACCAGGUUUGUUAUUACCCAAACACAGUGAGAGACCACGCUUCUUAUGCCUUCAACAAUUACUUCCAGAAGUACAAGAAGAAAG